RNAcentral lists this ribosomal RNA (1530 nucleotides) under Triticum aestivum (bread wheat). RNAcentral's name for it is "partial small subunit ribosomal RNA". Lineage: Eukaryota; Viridiplantae; Streptophyta; Magnoliopsida; Poales; Poaceae. The record is from RNAcentral.
AUGAAGAGCUUGAUUGAACUAUUCAAUGAGUGGGAAAUCCAACAACUUGUGCUCCUCAGCUUCGCACUGCAGUUGUACCUCUUCUUUACUGGAAGCCUUCGGCGGCAUAGCUCCAACAGGUUCCUAAGGUACUCCAUUUGGAUAGCUUACUUGGGGGCAGACUUGGUAGCAGUUUAUGCCCUCGGCCUACUAUCACGGCAUGAUCGAGAUAUCACCUUUGAAUGUCACAUACCAAGGAGAACCCAUACAGUGGCUUCUUUUUGGGCACCAUUUCUCCUCAUUCAUCUUGGUGGGCAGGACACCAUUACCGCUUUCGCAAUGGAGGACAACAACUUGUGGUUGAGGCAUUUGUUGAAUCUGGUGGUGCAAGUUGUCCUAGCUUUGUAUGUUUACUGGAAGUCUAUUCCAAGACUACACAGCGUGAAACUUGUAGUUUCAGGUAUCCUUGUGUUUGUUGCUGGAAUCAUCAAGUAUGGAGAGAGGACAUGGUCUCUCAAGUGUGGAAACCUUAAAAGCCUUGUGAGCUCGACCGGGCAUCGUUUCAACAAACGGGUGCCUGUAGACACCGACGGCUAUCCUGGCAUUGUUUCAGCUGCUCUAGGUAUGAUGCCACAAGUCCUUAAAAUAUUUGCAGCACGCGUUGUAUACUCUAGGCCUAGAGACCAAUUACUACCUGAAGAACCCAUCAAAAUGGUCAGGGAGAUGAGGAUCGAGCUUGGUCUGAUGUAUGAUGAUCUCUACACUAAGGCCGUUAUGCUCAGAACAAGGAGUGGCAUCAUAGUUAGAUGCAUCUCUCAGAUAUCUAUUGUUGCCGCUUUUGCGCUCUUCCAUGCACAAGAAGAUAAAUUGAGUACCUAUAGCGAAGCUGACAUUGCAAUCACCUAUUCACUACUUAUCGGUGGCCUUUUCCUGGAGCUUUGUUCAAUGUUUGUUUUCAUGAUGCCACCAUGGACAUGGGCAUGGUUGAAGGUCCGAAACUGGCACAGGCUUGCCGGUUUGUCCUGGUUCAUUUUUUACAGUGAUAUUGGAUGGCCGGAGAAGAAGCAAGGCUGGCCAAAUUCGAUGGGACAAUACAACCUUGCGAGCUGGUUGGCUCCUGGUAGCAGCGACCUCCAGCAGCAAGCAAGGGCGACAUUCAGUCAGCGAGCAAUGAGAAGGUUGUUUCUAGAUUUGCUCGGUGCUAAAAAGAAAAAUAUAUUUUGGAUGAGCAAGUUGUUAGACACCAAGUAUGUGGAUGUGGAUAAUAUGGUGAUCGAGUGUGUUACAAAGGAGAUUGCGGUCUUAGCCAGUGAAGUAAUGAAAGAGAGACGACAUAGACAUUGGCCCAAUCUUGAACCUUUGUUCAUAAACAGCAAAGACAUUUUCAUUCAGGAUUUUGGUAGUGCUAUUGUGAAUAUUCAUGUGCUGACUGAGCUGCUCUUGAGUGAACAACAAACUUGGUCAUACAUGGAUGCAAAAUUGGUGGAGGUAUGCAGGAAACUGUCCAACUACAUGAUGUACUCCCUCCGUUCGGAAUUACUCGUCCAAUAA